GCUAACUGAAGGGACUGAAGGAAGUGUGGAAGGACUGAGCAUAAGAAGGGGAAAGGGGACCUCCAUUAUGGAGUGCUUCCUUGCUGCAGCCAAGGGAACCUGGAUUUUAUGGCAGCCAGUGCUUCAGAAAACCAGUGGCCACAGGGAGGAGUUUUAAGAACUGGAAAUUAAAAGAGAAGCCAGAGUCAUGCCAUAUUUAUCAAGGGAGAAUGAAAUUUGCUUACUGGAAUUAUUACAAAACCAUAGCAUUUCAGAAAAUUUUUCAAAGAGCCCUUAGAGAUCCUUCAUAAUUAUUAUGGCUGUCCCACUGGCAGAUACAGACAAUGGAGGAAACAGAUAGGAGUGUCUGGUUAAUGUGACAAGUAUUUCUCAAAGUGUUCCAUGCAUAGCUUCUAAAUCUUUCUCUGGACCUGAUCACCUUCAGGAACCAACCAAUCAAGAGUGAGUCUCUGGCCUUCAAAGCAGAGACUGGUCUUUCCAGAGAUGAACCCCCCCGUAACAUGGCAGUUUCAUUCAUGGCUGAUCAGGAAUGUAUCAUAACCCUUCCUGGUCAUCUGUACACCAUUAAACAUCCUGUGAGAGGGGUUUGCCAGAUGGAUUAUAGGAUUCUUGAAGAUGCUGAUAUACCUCUCCAAAAUAACUGACUUACUGCUUGAUCAAAGCCUCAUGCUCAGUUAUUUUGCCCAUUUGCACUACUCUAGUGGUUUUAGAAUUAAAUUAUUAAAAAAUA
Callorhinus ursinus (northern fur seal) is the source of this 730-nucleotide long non-coding RNA. RefSeq lists it as uncharacterized. Lineage: Eukaryota; Metazoa; Chordata; Mammalia; Carnivora; Otariidae. The record is from RefSeq and is a predicted model, not a curated record.